GGGAUGUGGCUUGGUGGCAAAAUACCCCUGAGUUAGAUCCCAGUAACAAAAAGAUCUAAAAAUAACAAUAAUAAUAAUUUCUUUUCUUUAUUCUGUCUUUCUGGAACUUCUAUUGUUUGGAUGUUGGGAUUUGGAGUUUAUUCUUUUUUUGACAUCAUAUUUCAUACAUUUGAGUUUAUUCUUGCUUUUAUUUUUUAUUUUUAGUUUUGGAUCAAACUCAGGAUCUUGUGCAUGCUAGGCAAGUGUUCUAACACUGAGCUACAUCUUGGUUCUUAUUCUUGCUUUUAAUCUCCUAUUUAGGAGAGCUUUCUUUUGUUCUCUACUUUGGGACAUUUUUCUUAAUUUUAUGGUCAUACCCUUCAAAUAAAUAUUUUUAUUUCAACACUCACAUAUUUUUUUGACCCUCACUUUUUUUUUAAGGGCUUUUGUUCUCAUUUCUUUUUGUGACCCUGUGUUCCUGCUUCCUGAAGAAGUCAUGAAGUUUAUUUCUCUAAAGAUAUUUAUUGAAGUAUUUUUUUUCCCUGGAUUUCUGUACCCUGUGUCUAUAGUUCCUAAAGAUGUCAUACUUUUUUUUUUUUGGUACCGGGGAUUGAAUUUAGGGGCACUCGACCACUGAGCCAUAUCCCCAGCCCUAUUGUAUAUUUUAUUUAGAGACAGGGUCUCAUGAGUUGCUAAGUACCUCUCCGUUGCUGAGGCUAGCUUUGAACUCAUGAUUCUCCUACCUCAGCCUCCCAAACUACUGGGAUUACAGGCAUGCACCACAGAGCCGGGUUAUAGUUCCUAAAUUUCUUUUGUGUUAUUUUGUCCUGUCUUUCACACCCAAGUCUUCCUCACUUGUUUGGUGAUUUCUUAUUCAAUGUUCAUUUUUAUUUAUUUAUUUUUAUGGUGCUGGGGAUGGAAUCCUUAGCCUCAUGGAUUCUAAGCAAUUGUGUGCGUGAGUGAGUGUGUGUGUGUGUGUGUGUGUGUGUCUGCGCUUGUUGGUUUUGGGGUUUCUUUGUAGGGUGAUUAAGUGUGGGGAAUGGAACCAUGUGAUUGGGAGACCUCAUGAAAAAUUCUCUGGUCUCUUACCUGGAUGGUGCAAGCCAAGUUGCCAGUAUUCUUGGAGGCCACCAGGAGAGAGGCACUGGGGUCUCAUCAUUCAAUGUAUGGUUUGGAGAGGAUUUUCUCCCCAAUUUCCCUUUCCCUUUAGAGUGUAGUGACUUAACCCCACCCUCAGUUGUACCCAGUCCUCUGAAGUAUGGAACUUCUCUAGUUUAGUUUCUCCAAAAAAUAAACUUCCUUUACCUGCUGGGUGAGAGUCAGGUAAAUGAUCUGACUUGGGCUUUGAAGUCCACAGUCUAAAUGCUCUGAAAAACACACCAUACUUUCAAGAACUCUUCCUGUCUUUAGCCCCCUGCCCCCCCAACCCCCAGUCUGCUUUCUGCAGUAGCUGGUGCCUCCAGUUCCGGAGCCUCUCUGGAGUUCAGAGGCACAGUGCCACUUGCUUCCAACGGGAUCUAGUUUCCAGUCUUCUUUGACCUGGUGCAUCCCUACCACUCACCCAUCUGCUCACAGGAUCUCAAGAUUCUGCAGAUGUCUCUUGUCCUCUGUUGUCUCCUUUGCCAUACUCCGUCCUUGUGGGUUCAUACCUUUGAAAAUCCUUGUUUUAUCUUUUUUUGUGUAGGGUUUUGGGGGAGGAAGUGAAGAUACAUGUAUUUAAUCCAACACGGUAACUUGUGACAGCAUCUUUUACUCCUACUGGAGCGGUAGGAGGGAAUCUACUUACACUUUU
Molecule: long non-coding RNA, 1771 nt
Filed under: Marmota monax (woodchuck)
Lineage: Eukaryota; Metazoa; Chordata; Mammalia; Rodentia; Sciuridae
Source: RNAcentral